Molecule: ribosomal RNA, 570 nt
Filed under: uncultured fungus
Lineage: Eukaryota; Fungi
Description: eukaryotic LSU rRNA
Rfam family: 5.8S ribosomal RNA (bases 187-340)
Source: RNAcentral
UCCGUAGGUGAACCUGCGGAAGGAUCAUUACUGAGUGCGGGCUGCCUCCGGGCGCCCAACCUCCCACCCGUGAAUACCUAACACUGUUGCUUCGGCGGGGAACCCCCUCGGGGGCGAGCCGCCGGGGACUACUGAACUUCAUGCCUGAGAGUGAUGCAGUCUGAGUCUGAAUAUAAAAUCAGUCAAAACUUUCAACAAUGGAUCUCUUGGUUCCGGCAUCGAUGAAGAACGCAGCGAACUGCGAUAAGUAAUGUGAAUUGCAGAAUUCAGUGAAUCAUCGAGUCUUUGAACGCACAUUGCGCCCCCUGGCAUUCCGGGGGGCAUGCCUGUCCGAGCGUCAUUGCUGCCCUUCAAGCCCGGCUUGUGUGUUGGGUCGUCGUCCCCCCCGGGGGACGGGCCCGAAAGGCAGCGGCGGCACCGCGCCCGGUCCUCGAGCGUAUGGGGCUUUGUCACCCGCUCGAUUAGGGCCGGCCGGGCGCCAGCCGGCGUCUCCAACCUUCUAUUUUACCAGGUUGACCUCGGAUCAGGUAGGGAUACCCGCUGAACUUAAGCAUAUCAAUAAGCGGAGGA